GGGGAAUAGCCCGAAGAAAUUCGGAUUAAUGCUCCAUGGUUUAAUUGGAUGGCAUCAUUUGAUUAAUAAAGAUUUAUCGGUAGAAGAUGGGCAUGCGUAUCAUUAGCUAGUUGGUGUGGUAACGGCAUACCAAGGCGACGAUGAUUAGGGGUCCUGAGAGGGAGAUCCCCCACACUGGUACUGAGACACGGACCAGACUCCUACGGGAGGCAGCAGUGAGGAAUAUUGGUCAAUGGAGGCAACUCUGAACCAGCCAUGCCGCGUGCAGGAUGACGGUCCUAUGGAUUGUAAACUGCUUUUGUACAGGAAGAAACCUCGCUACGUGUAGUGAUUUGACGGUACUGUAAGAAUAAGGAUCGGCUAACUCCGUGCCAGCAGCCGCGGUAAUACGGAGGAUCCGAGCGUUAUCCGGAAUUAUUGGGUUUAAAGGGUUCGUAGGCGGUCAGAUAAGUCAGUGGUGAAAUUUCUUAGCUUAACUAAGACCCGGCCAUUGAUACUGUUUGACUUGAAUAGUAUGGAAGUAACUAGAAUAUGUAGUGUAGCGGUGAAAUGCUUAGAUAUUACAUGGAAUACCAAUUGCGAAGGCAGGUUACUACGUACUUAUUGACGCUGAUGAACGAAAGCGUGGGGAGCGAACAGGAUUAGAUACCCUGGUAGUCCACGCCGUAAACGAUGGAUACUAGCUGUUCGGUUUUCGGACUGAGUGGCUAAGCGAAAGUGAUAAGUAUCCCACCUGGGGAGUACGUUCGCAAGAAUGAAACUCAAAGGAAUUGACGGGGGCCCGCACAAGCGGUGGAGCAUGUGGUUUAAUUCGAUGAUACGCGAGGAACCUUACCAGGGCUUAAAUGUAGAUUGACAGGUUUGGAAACAGACUUUUCUUCGGACAAUUUACAAGGUGCUGCAUGGUUGUCGUCAGCUCGUGCCGUGAGGUGUCAGGUUAAGUCCUAUAACGAGCGCAACCCCUAUUGUUAGUUACCAGCGCGUUAUGGCGGGAACUCUAGCAAGACUGCCGGUGCAAACCGUGAGGAAGGUGGGGAUGACGUCAAAUCAUCACGGCCCUUACGUCCUGGGCUACACACGUGCUACAAUGGUCAGUACAGAAAGCAGCUACCUGGCGACAGGAUGCGAAUCUCAAAAGCUGAUCACAGUUC
This 1151-nucleotide ribosomal RNA is filed under the name Myroides phaeus. RNAcentral's name for it is "bacterial SSU rRNA". It matches the Rfam family "Bacterial small subunit ribosomal RNA", at positions 138 to 1294 of the family's 1533-position model. Lineage: Bacteria; Pseudomonadati; Bacteroidota; Flavobacteriia; Flavobacteriales; Flavobacteriaceae. The record is from RNAcentral.